Molecule: ribosomal RNA, 468 nt
Filed under: uncultured bacterium
Lineage: Bacteria
Description: partial 16S ribosomal RNA
Rfam family: Bacterial small subunit ribosomal RNA
Source: RNAcentral
GACGAACGCUGGCGGCGUGCUUAACACAUGCAAGUCGAACGGAAAGGCCCUGCUUUUGUGGGGUGCUCGAGUGGCGAACGGGUGAGUAACACGUGAGUAACCUGCCCUUGACUUUGGGAUAACUUCAGGAAACUGGGGCUAAUACCGGAUAGGAGCUCCUGCUGCAUGGUGGGGGUUGGAAAGUUUCGGCGGUUGGGGAUGGACUCGCGGCUUAUCAGCUUGUUGGUGGGGUAGUGGCUUACCAAGGCUUUGACGGGUAGCCGGCCUGAGAGGGUGACCGGCCACAUUGGGACUGAGAUACGGCCCGGACUCCUACGGGAGGCAGCAGUGGGGAAUAUUGCACAAUGGGCGGAAGCCUGAUGCAGCAACGCCGCGUGCGGGAUGACGGCCUUCGGGUUGUAAACCGCUUUCGCCUGUGACGAAGCGUGAGUGACGGUAAUGGGUACAGAAGCACCGGCUAACUACGUG